AUAAGCGGAGGAAAAGAAACUAACAAGGAUUCCCCUAGUAACUGCGAGUGAAGCGGGAAAAGCUCAAAUUUAAAAUCUGGCAGCCUAUGGUUGUCCGAGUUGUAAUCUGGAGAAGUGUUUUCCGUGCUGGACCGUGUACAAGUCUCUUGGAACAGAGCGUCAUAGAGGGUGAGAAUCCCGUCUUUGACACGGACUACCAGUGCUUUGUGAUGCGCUCUCAAAGAGUCGAGUUGUUUGGGAAUGCAGCUCAAAAUGGGUGGUGAAUUCCAUCUAAAGCUAAAUAUUGGCGAGAGACCGAUAGCGAACAAGUACCGUGAGGGAAAGAUGAAAAGCACUUUGGAAAGAGAGUUAAACAGUACGUGAAAUUGCUGAAAGGGAAACGCUUGAAGUCAGUCGCAUUGUUCGGAACUCAGCCUUGCUUUUGCUUGGUGCAUUUUCUGAAUGAUGGGCCAGCAUCAAUUUUGACUGUUGGAAAAAGGCUGGAGUAAUGUGGCACCCCUGGGUGUGUUAUAGACUCUGGUUGCAUACAGCAGUUGGGAUUGAGGACCGCAGCACGCCGCAAGGCAGGGGUGAGUAAUUGCCCACUUUCGUGCUUAGGAUGCUGGCAUAAUGGCUUUAAACGACCCGUCUUGAAACACGGACCAAGGAGUCUAACAUGCCUGCGAGUGUUUGGGUGGAAAACCCGAGCGCGUAAUGAAAGUGAAAGUUGAGACCUCUGUCAUGGAGGGCACCAACGCCCGGACCUGACGUUUUCUGAAGGAUCCGCGGUAGAGCAUGUAUGUUGGGACCCGAAAGAUGGUGAACUAUGCCUGAAUAGGGUGAAGCCAGAGGAAACUCUGGUGGAGGCUCGUAGCGAUUCUGACGUGCAAAUCGAUCGUCAAAUUUGGGUAUAGGGGCGAAAGACUAAUCGAACCAUCUAGUAGCUG
This 926-nucleotide ribosomal RNA is filed under the name Haploporus papyraceus. RNAcentral describes it as "eukaryotic LSU rRNA". It matches the Rfam family "Eukaryotic large subunit ribosomal RNA", at positions 46 to 953 of the family's 3401-position model. Lineage: Eukaryota; Fungi; Basidiomycota; Agaricomycetes; Polyporales; Polyporaceae. The record is from RNAcentral.